This 413-nucleotide long non-coding RNA is filed under the name Pan troglodytes (chimpanzee). RNAcentral describes it as "long non-coding RNA NONPTRT013725". Lineage: Eukaryota; Metazoa; Chordata; Mammalia; Primates; Hominidae. The record is from RNAcentral.
UGCUUUUAGAUUCAGCAAGGAUUUCACAAAACUCACAGAAAAAUAAAAUCAUCAUCAACAUCUUGCAAGGACAAGCAAUGCUUCACUGGUUGAGAUGUGUCAGGUAGAUUUGGAGCAUUUUUUCUCUGUGUGAUAUAUUAAUUACAUUGAAAUAUGAAGGAAGGUUCCAGUGAAUUUUGGAGUUGGAUGAAAACGUUUGUUUUGUUGCUGAUUCUAUGAAGGUAAAUAUAAAGAAAGAUUCAUUAUUUGAGGGAAUAGAGAGAUUAAUGUGGAUACCAUUUAUAAGUUAAAUGCAUUAAUAGACAUUAACAUUUCAAAAUAAUUCCUGAGCUACAACUACAAGGUGAUUGGUAAUUUUCUGAAAGUAAUGUAAUUAUUACAUUGUGAAAAUAAAUUAUAUAUAUAAAACUAGU